UAACAAAUAGCUUAUUUUUAAAGCAUGGUGCUGAAGACGCUAAAAAGAUUUUUAUCUUUGUUAA
Molecule: transfer RNA, 64 nt
Filed under: Planorbarius corneus
Lineage: Eukaryota; Metazoa; Mollusca; Gastropoda; Planorbidae
Description: tRNA-Phe
Source: RNAcentral